GAAAUAUACGGGCCAAUUUGGCCCCAUGAGGUCGUUUUGGAUUUUGAAAUUGCUAGCCAUAUUGGCUAACAAUGAGAGCUAAAACAGACAAGAGGGGCCGUUUUGGCUCCAUGAGGGUUGUUUUUGCUCUACAACUGGUGCCAAAUUGGUUCGAGAGCAACUUGAUGACUGCAUCGAAUCGGGUGACACAAUACAAAUAUGGCGGCCAACUAUUUCAUGAUGCACGCGCGUUUCGAUUGCUGUUUUCACUAUGAUAACGGCCGUAGAUGACUAUGAUAUUGCAGGAAAAAUAAUAUUCUAUUAUCAUUCAAAGUAUAGAGUUUUUGAAGACGACCAUUUGCUUUGUUUGUAAUGGUUUUUAAAGUGAUUCAAUUGUCGUAGGAGUGAACGGCAGAAAACAAAUUAUGUCAGUCUAGUCGUAACAUUUGCACCGAACUUCUUGCAAUGCCUUCAUUUAAAGAUUUAACCACCUCUGAAUUGUCCACGUUAUUGAAAAAGAAUGGAGUGGAUAAUGAAGUCAUUGAAAAAUUUCAAGGGUACUGACAAGAAAGCAUCAGAUACGUCAUUACGAUCUUGAAAAAGCUGAAGAAACCGUCGCGUCUAAAACAGCGCAGAAGGAUGAAUUAUUGAAAGUGACAGAGGAUGGCGAAGAAGGAAAGAAAAGUGGUUUGUGGAAAGGACUUUCUUCAAAAAUAUUUGGUGGCGACAAUCCCGAGGCGCGGGAAGCCAAACUUCAAACUUUAGAAUUUCAAAUUGAAGAAUCAGAAAAUGCUGUCACUGAUGCGCAACAAGAGAUGAGUUCAUUCACUAAAAUGGCGGACAAAGAUUAUGAACAAUUUCAGAAACAGCGUGACAGUGACGUGAAGAAUAUUUUGAUCUAACACAUAAAAACACAGUUAAAGUUGUGCAAACUGGGAAUAUCAACUUGGGAAAACAUGAGUCUUACACUUGCACAUUCAAAGUUUUACACUUGCACAUUCAAUUUUCUCGAUUUUGGUAAUGGUGCGAAAAAUUUCCAUUUAGCCACAAUAAUUUUAUUUUGGUCCAAUCGUGUUAUUAGUGAUAUAUUCAAUUGUAAUUUGGAAUAAAUUUGUGUAGAUGUGAUUAUUUUCAAUUAACGAUUACAUUACCUAAUUGUGCAUGUAUAAUUUUCUAUGCUGUUGUUUCUUUGUAAUAAAAACCAAAAGAAAAUUGUUAAAUACAAAAAUUGACGUCAAAA
Molecule: long non-coding RNA, 1219 nt
Organism: Xenia sp. Carnegie-2017
Lineage: Eukaryota; Metazoa; Cnidaria; Anthozoa; Malacalcyonacea; Xeniidae
Exons: 6
Source: RefSeq, a predicted model, not a curated record